Molecule: ribosomal RNA, 495 nt
Filed under: uncultured bacterium
Lineage: Bacteria
Description: partial 16S ribosomal RNA
Rfam family: Bacterial small subunit ribosomal RNA
Source: RNAcentral
GAUGAACGCUGGCGGCGUGCCUAAUACAUGCAAGUCGAGCGAACAGACGAGGAGCUUGCUCCUCUAACGUUAGCGGCGGACGGGUGAGUAACACGUGGAUAACCUACCUAUAAGACUGGGAUAACUUCGGGAAACCGGAGCUAAUACCGGAUAAUAUAUUGAACCGCAUGGUUCAAUAGUGAAAGACGGUUUUGCUGUCACUUAUAGAUGGAUCCGCGCCGCAUUAGCUAGUUGGUAAGGUAACAGCUUACCAAGGCAACGAUGCGUAGCCGACCUGAGAGGGUGAUCGGCCACACUGGAACUGAGACACGGUCCAGACUCCUACGGGAGGCAGCAGUAGGGAAUCUUCCGCAAUGGGCGAAAGCCUGACGGAGCAACGCCGCGUGAGUGAUGAAGGUCUUCGGAUCGUAAAACUCUGUUAUUAGGGAAGAACAAAUGUGUAAGUAACUAUGCACGUCUUGACGGUACCUAAUCAGAAAGCCACGGCUAACUACG